UUUUAAUCAAGAUAACUGCUGCCUCUUGUAAUUAUCAGAACAGGGUAAACAUUUGCUAUGUUAGGACCACACAUGCAUCCCCAGAUCUAGUUCUUUCCCGUGUCUGGUUUUACAAAGGCUGAGGAUAACC
This is a small nucleolar RNA of Capra hircus (goat), 130 nucleotides long. Its record names the gene SNORA72. It matches the Rfam family "Small nucleolar RNA SNORA72". From Rfam's summary of the family: U72 is a member of the H/ACA class of snoRNAs. The record is from Ensembl. NCBI's taxonomy places the organism in Eukaryota, Metazoa, Chordata, Mammalia, Artiodactyla, Bovidae.